GCCAAGGUAGCUCAGUUGGUAGAGCAUCGGUUUUGUAAACCGGCGGUCGCAGGUUCGAUUCCUGUCCUUGGCU
This 73-nucleotide transfer RNA is filed under the name Fidelibacterota bacterium. Its description in RNAcentral is "tRNA-Thr". It matches the Rfam family "tRNA". Rfam says of the family: Transfer RNA (tRNA) molecules are approximately 80 nucleotides in length. Their secondary structure includes four short double-helical elements and three loops (D, anti-codon, and T loops). The record is from RNAcentral. RNAcentral also lists the same sequence under 1 other name. Lineage: Bacteria; Pseudomonadati; Fidelibacterota.